This 2238-nucleotide long non-coding RNA is filed under the name Anas platyrhynchos platyrhynchos (common mallard). Its description in RNAcentral is "lncRNA (ENSAPLG00000016651.1)". The record is from RNAcentral. Lineage: Eukaryota; Metazoa; Chordata; Aves; Anseriformes; Anatidae.
CUUGGAUUGAAACCAAAUGAGUUGAGCGAAUCUUCCAGGUUGCUUAAGUCCAUUCCUUGCCUCUGCUAAAGCUGCUCCCUGUCCUGGCACCCUGUCAGUAGGGGUCCUGCCCUCUUGUUCUCUGUCUCUUUGGUCUGUCCAGCUGUGCAAGGGAGGACCUGGUAUCGCUGAGUGAAAAGAUUAGGGUCUCACAAAGUUUUUCUUCUGUAUCUUCCUGCAGAGAUUUUAAUUUAAUUGUCCAUUGAAAUCCCAGUUACAGAGUUCUUCCAUACUCUGACACCUGACUUUGCAGCCUAGGAUUUUUAUUUAUUUAUUUUUUUCAUCACUGAGAACUUCUUUUCAUUUUGCUUUUUUUGGGGAAAGGUUGGAGAUAUGACAUAUGUACUGCUUUGUCUGGUGUUAUAGCUGGAAAAUACAGGUCAUACUGGGGAAGCAGAAAUAACUUUAUUAAUACUGAACUUUUGGAGAGCAAAGAUGUACAGAGCAGGAAACAAGAUCCUAAUGAAGUGGGACAGUGAAAUGGCAGGAAUGUAUCGUUAGAUUUCCGCUGUCUGAGAAACCCUUUGUUCGCCUUGCUGGUCCAAACAUUUAUCAGCAUCUACUUUGCAGUGCAGCAUCACAAACCACCAGCCUGCUUCAGAUAAAAAAAUAAAUAAUCAAGUUAUCUGCCUGACAGCAGUGGUGCUGGAAAGAGGAGAGGUGAAGUGGUGUGAAGGGAACUGGGGAGGAGUACCCCAAGGGCUUGCUGCGCUGGGCAGUGUGUGGCUGUACACCAGUGUACACCAGUGUAACAGCACCAGCACGCUGGUCACAGGCACAGAGGCUGCAUGUGUAUAAGUGUGGGGACCACAGGACCGCAAUCCUGUUUGUUCCUGUAGGAGAUCAUGUAAGAGAGAGCAAGUGCAUUUUUCAAAUUGAGAGCAAGAUCUUCUUACUUACAUAGGUGCUUAGCUCCUCUGGGAAGUGGUUUCUGCCAGGCUUAUUGCAACCACUGUGCCUCAGUUCUGGUGGGGAGUGGCCAGGGUACUCGGCGUACCUCAGUUUCUUUCUCUAAAAAUCUGUCAUCUCAUCCAGGUUGUCUAGCACUUCAGAAGACCAGGCCCCACCCCUUGAAAGCAGCUCAGUCCAGGCGCCUAAGGCCUUUGAGAUGGGUUGAAAUGCUCUCUUGUCAUUUCUCUUCAUUUGUCUUGGAGACCACUGAGAGAAGGGAGAUGGGAUCUUCACAGUUUGCUGUGUGAAAACCCAUCAGGGUCUGCCCAAUGCUGCAUGAAUGCGGGGUUCUCAACAUCUGAAAGGACAUAAGGUUUGCUUGCUAUUUCUAUUCCUGUUUUUAUUCUGUCUUAUUAAAACAGCUGUUUUGUAAGUCAUUUGCUGUCAGGCCUUGCUGAGCUGCAGAAAGAGCCCUGCCUGGUCUCAGCUGCUCUCACCCCUGCCCCAGCUGAUGCAGAACAAGCAGCACUGCAUUGACAUCUGUGAACUGUGUACAACUGAGCAGUGAGCAACACACGCGGGAAAAAAACAGGGGAGUGUAGGAAGCAAGGGUCAUGGUGCACUCAACUCACCCCGUCUUGACCGUGCAAGGAUUGCACAAGGUGGGGGCACCAACUGACAUCUCUUCCUUCAGUGCAUAAGCGGUAAUUGUGCUUCACGGGGCAGCAGACUGCUUUGCAGGAGAGUUUUGGGGUAUACUGAGGGAAAGCAGUGAAAAAAGAUACUCAAGCAGGGAUGAUGCUGUGGAAAGGGUAAUUUCAAGCUGAACAGCUCUGAGUGAGCCGUUCUUGUCUGCUUUUUCCAUAAGCAGUUUGGGAUUGGGAGGAGGCAAGAAAACAUCUUUCCUUUGAAAAUUUACCUCAAGGGUAUGUGCUGGUAAGUCAGCUGAGCGUCUGUCCAGCUACCUACCAUAUUUGUAGCUGCCAAAGCUUUUCAGUUGAGUGUGCCUUUGUGUAUGUAUAGCCACAUGCAUGCACAAACACACACACACAUGCUGCUUUCUGAAAAGAUAUAUUUGGAAAGUGAAUUUGUUCAGCUAUCUGAGUUUAAAUGCUACUGUUUUCUGUAUGGAAAUUGCUUCUCUGCACCUCUGUGUGCAAAUACAUCUGCACAGUAACUAAACACGAGCCACCCAUCAGAUAGCCAUUCCCCGUGACGCAGUUGGGAGCACCUGAGUCUGCAGCAGAGAGGACCUCUAUACAGCCUUAUGCAACAUGCAGCAAGAGUUAUUUAUUAGUCCUGCAGCUC